UUACGAUCAUAUCACAUUGAAACACCGAUUCUCAGGUGUAUCACCGAAGAUAAGCAACGUUGAACCUGGUCAGUACCAAGAUGGGUGACGACUUGAGAAUACCAGGUGCUGUAA
Acanthosepion pharaonis is the source of this 114-nucleotide non-coding RNA. NCBI's taxonomy places the organism in Eukaryota, Metazoa, Mollusca, Cephalopoda, Sepiida, Sepiidae. The record is from the annotation of a GenBank genome assembly.